RNAcentral lists this ribosomal RNA (282 nucleotides) under uncultured bacterium. RNAcentral describes it as "partial 16S ribosomal RNA". It matches the Rfam family "Bacterial small subunit ribosomal RNA", at positions 338 to 617 of the family's 1533-position model. The record is from RNAcentral.
CCUACGGGGGGCAGCAGUGAGGAAUAUUGGUCAAUGGGCGCGAGCCUGAACCAGCCAAGUAGCGUGAAGGAUGACUGCCCUAUGGAUUGUAAACUUCUUUUAUAUGGGAGUAAAAUGUUCCACGCGUGGGAUUUUGUAUGUACCAUAUGAAUAAGCAUCGGCUAACUCCGUGCCAGCAGCCGCGGUAAUACGGAGGAUCCGAGCGUUAUCCGGAUUUAUUGGGUUUAAAGGGAGCGUAGGUGGAAGGUUAAGUCAGUUGUGAAAUUUCGAGGCUCAACCGUA